UUACACAAGCAGUUCACCGUAGAUGGUAAGCUGUGUAUCAAUGCGAAAAGCGAGGUGUGCAGUGAUAUUUGCUCUAAUUGUUGUAUACGCGUAGCAAGUGCGUACAUUUAUUGAUUUACAUUGUGAAGGAUUAGUACUGACCUCUGGCUCGGUAGUCGGCAUCCCUAUGAAAACGUAUUGAAGAUCAGAUCUGUUAUAAACCGAAAAUAUGGAGUUAUACCGGAAGUAUCCUGUGGUUUGCACAGUAUGGGCCUUUAUGGAAGUUGUACUGUUUGGCGGUGUGAUAUUUGGAUGGGGAUCUCUAGUAUUUAUUCUCAAAGAGGAAGGAUUUUAUUCAGACUAUUGCACGGAGAAUGACAUUGGCAACAACUCUGAUUACUUAUCACCCAAUCAGUUUCCUUAUUUGACAUUGUCUAACAAUUCAUUGGAUGAAAAAUCUUAUGACGUCAUUAUCGCUGAUGACAAAAACAGCACGGCGACGUUCCGGAGAACCACGGAGAACAGAACGACACUGCAUGGAGGGUGUCCGGCACAGGAAUCUAAGCUGAAUCUCUGGUUUUCCAUAGCAGUCAGCUCCAUGUACUUGUCUUUGGCAGGCGUUGGUUACUUGAUAAGACACAUUGGCACGAGAAACACAAGAGUAAUAUUUUUCUUUAUUUACUUGAUUGGAACACUAUGUUUGGCGUUCACAAGUCCAGAAAUACCAUGGCUACUUCUACCCGGCUUAUCCUGUAUUGGAAUCGCUGGACUGACCGUUCUCGCCACAAAUCUACAGGUAUCGAAUCUUCAUCCUCACCUGCGAUCAACGAUUGUUGCUAUAUUCACUGGGUUGUUUGACUUUUCCUCUAUCAACAAACAGAUUAUAAGGAUUGCUUACGAAAGUGGUAUCGCGAGACGGACGUCAUAUAUUUUUAUCUCUGUAUUGUUUGCGGUUAUUGUCGCGACGAGCACGUUGUUUUUUCUACCCAAGAUGAAUAUCAGUGAGGACUACAUGAAGGAGCAGAAAAGAAGACGAAACAGCUGCAAGCAAGAGAAGAAGCUGGUCAGAAAUAAUGACGAUAGUUCUCCACAGCCGGCGGAAAAAAUCGAUGAAGAGCUUCUGAAAGUGCACGAAAAGGAGCUUGGUGUCAUGAAUGGCAGUGUGGAUCUCGCAGCGGCAGAUGGUUCGUCUAAACCAUCACUGUUAUCCGUUGUUUUCUCUGUGACAUAUAUGUUACACCUCUACUGGCUGUUUGUGCACGCUCUGAGAUUCGUUACGUUUAUUGGACAGAUAAAUGUGUGGCUGGAGAAUAUCUUCGACGGAAAUGAAGCCAAAGUUGGAGAAAUGCUUGCUAUAUUCUCAUACAUGACAAUGGGGGCUAUUGGUUCUGCGUUGCUGUGUGGUUUUGUAUAUGAUUAUCAGCGUAAAAGAUACGUCAGAAUGUCCUUGAAUCAGUAUUGCCAUAUAAGCUGAUGUUGUGAGAAUUUCUGGUUUUGUGAAGAUCGCUCUGGUAAAAUACGUUGAAAAUUGUAGAAAACACUUCUGUAUUUGAAAAUGCUGGUGAAAUCAAACGUGUUUACAUUCCUGUAGUGCUACCAAUGUGUUUGGUCAUCUUCUACUCUGUAGGCACUACAAUACUCUGCUAUAUCAAACACGAAGUCGCCCCGUAUUUUGCAUUUGUACUGUUCACCU
RNA transcript from Mercenaria mercenaria, 1672 nucleotides. It is a transcript of the gene named equilibrative nucleobase transporter 1-like, with no coding region annotated. The record is from RefSeq and is a predicted model, not a curated record. The transcript has 10 exons. Lineage: Eukaryota; Metazoa; Mollusca; Bivalvia; Venerida; Veneridae.